UGUCUGUUGCGGGCUUGCGUCAGUCUCGCCCUAUUGUCACACACCAACGCCCUAUUGCGUCAGUCUCGCCCUAUUGCCCUGGAUAUGCAGAGCAAGGAAGAAGAGGAGGAGGAGGCUGAGAAGGGAUGCUCCGCUAGAGAUGCUCAGCAACAAGGCAAAGGAAGGAAGACCAACAACAACAACAACAACAACAGGAGGAAGUUGUUGGAAGUGCAGCAAGCCAUUUUGGCCAACAUGUCUCAAGCUCAUCAAGAUUUCAGGGACGAGCUGGUUGGAUCCGGAGAUCGUGUUCAAAUUGGCAUGUGAGGAACAAAUGCUUUGGCAAUGUGGUUUGAUUUAUGGAACACCUUUGAUUCAAAGGGAGAUCAACUCAUCACUUCCGAAGGGAUAUUGGAAAGGGAUUCCUCUUUCUUCCCCAGAAACUUGAAUGCACAGCAUAUAGAUGAUGUCCAUCGCAAGACAAACAUAUUGAAGUAUACUAAUCUCAAGUGGUAUGGUUCAACAAUGGCAAUAAGCCAUAACAUUUCAUUGGAUGGGUCUUUUUAGGCUUAUGGAAGAUAAUAUUUUUAUUUGUAGAAGUUAUUAAAUAAGGUAAGUCAAUUGAAAUUAAUACUGCAAGGAGAAAUAGAAGAAGACAAAAGAAACUUUAUUUGUAAAUAAUAAAAUGAGUUUACAAGUUCUUUUUAUCAACUGUUUGUGUAGUAGUUUGUAGAACACUUUUAAAACCUUUCUUCCUAGUGAAAUAUCAUUUUCUAGAAUGUUGUUAACCUCAUCUUAACUAUCAAUCAAGAUCCAAAAAUGAGGAGCAUUUCUUCCUAAAAACACAUUACAAUUUACCACACUGUGUUAUAAUAGGCUUUUGUUCACAACAGGCCAGUCCAGUCAUUGCAGAUAAUAUUUUGAUCUGUGGAUCUCAAACAAUAUAAAAAGAGUGGUAACAAUGAAUAUGUUGCCAUCAACAGUAGGAUUUCAACAAAAUCGAAUCCAUAACAGGAAAAGGUAAAAUAAAAUAUCUCGAAAUCCAGAAUGGUCCUCCAACAUAAUAAAUGACAAGAAAGUCACCAUAAUACUCAAAUGACAAACUGAGCUCAUCAGAAACCAAUAUAC
Molecule: long non-coding RNA, 1107 nt
Organism: Musa acuminata AAA Group (dessert banana)
Lineage: Eukaryota; Viridiplantae; Streptophyta; Magnoliopsida; Zingiberales; Musaceae
Exons: 3
Source: RefSeq, a predicted model, not a curated record